This 444-nucleotide ribosomal RNA is filed under the name uncultured bacterium. RNAcentral describes it as "SSU rRNA". It matches the Rfam family "Bacterial small subunit ribosomal RNA", at positions 26 to 518 of the family's 1533-position model. The record is from RNAcentral.
AGAGCGAACGCUGGCGGCAGGCCUAACACAUGCAAGUCGAGCGCGUGUAGCAAUACACGAGCGGCAGACGGGAGAGUAACACGUGGGAACGCGCCCUUCGGUUCGGAAUAACUCAGGGAAACUUGAGCUAAUACCGGAUACGCCCUUACGGGGAAAGAUUUAUUGCCGAAGGAACGGCCCGCGUCCGAUUAGCUAGUUGGUGAGGUAACGGCUCACCAAGGCGACGAUCGGUAGCUGGUCUGAGAGGAUGACCAGCCUCACUGGGACUGAGACACGGCCCAAACUCCUACGGGAGGCAGCAGUGGGGAAUAUGGACAAUGGCGCAAGCCUGAUCCAGCCAUGCCGCGUGAGUGAUGAAGGCCCUAGGGUUGUAAAGCUCUUUGUGCGGGAAGAUAAUGACGGUACCGCAAGAAUAAGCCCGGCUAACUUCGUGCCAGCAGCCGC